This 497-nucleotide ribosomal RNA is filed under the name uncultured bacterium. RNAcentral describes it as "partial 16S ribosomal RNA". It matches the Rfam family "Bacterial small subunit ribosomal RNA", at positions 28 to 507 of the family's 1533-position model. The record is from RNAcentral.
GAUGAACGCUGGCGGCGUGCCUAAUACAUGCAAGUCGAGCGAACAGACGAGGAGCUUGCUCCUCUGACGUUAGCGGCGGACGGGUGAGUAACACGUGGAUAACCUACCUCUAAGACUGGGAUAACUUCGGGAAACCGGAGCUAAUACCGGAUAAUAUAUUGAACCGCAUGGUUCAAUAGUGAAUGACGGUUUUGCUGUCACUUAUAGAUGGAUCCGCGCCGCAUUAGCUAGUUGGUAAGGUAACGGCUUACCAAGGCGACGAUGCGUAGCCGACCUGAGAGGGUGAUCGGCCACACUGGAACUGAGACACGGUCCAGACUCCUACGGGAGGCAGCAGUAGGGAAUCUUCCGCAAUGGGCGAAAGCCUGACGGAGCAACGCCGCGUGAGUGAUGAAGGUCUUCGGAUCGUAAAACUCUGUUAUUAGGGAAGAACAAAUGUGUAAGUAACUAUGCACGUCUUGACGGUACCUAAUCAGAAAGCCACGGCUAACUACGUG